UUGGACCACGCAUUUUAAACUAAACAAACACUUUCAUAUACAGAGAAAAUGAGCAUUGUCUCUGAGCAAGAAUGACAAUACAUGCAGCAUACCUCUUCAAGUCAGU
Non-coding RNA from Seminavis robusta, 106 nucleotides. Lineage: Eukaryota; Bacillariophyta; Bacillariophyceae; Naviculales; Naviculaceae. The record is from the annotation of a GenBank genome assembly.